Molecule: ribosomal RNA, 497 nt
Filed under: uncultured bacterium
Lineage: Bacteria
Description: partial 16S ribosomal RNA
Rfam family: Bacterial small subunit ribosomal RNA
Source: RNAcentral
GAUGAACGCUGGCGGCGUGCCUAAUACAUGCAAGUCGAGCGAACGGACGAGAAGCUUGCUUCUCUGAUGUUAGCGGCGGACGGGUGAGUAACACGUGGAUAACCUACCUAUAAGACUGGUAUAACUUCGGGAAACCGGAGCUAAUACCGGAUAAUAUUUUGAACCGCAUGGUUCAAAAGUGAAAGACGGUCUUGCUGUCACUUAUAGAUGGAUCCGCGCUGCAUUAGCUAGUUGGUAAGGUAACGGCUUACCAAGGCAACGAUGCAUAGCCGACCUGAGAGGGUGAUCGGACACACUGGAACUGAGACACGGUCCAGACUCCUACGGGAGGCAGCAGUAGGGAAUCUUCCGCAAUGGGCGAAAGCCUGACGGAGCAACGCCGCGUGAGUGAUGAAGGUCUUCGGAUCGUAAAACUCUGUUAUUAGGGAAGAACAUAUGUGUAAGUAACUGUGCACAUCUUGACGGUACCUAAUCAGAAAGCCACGGCUAACUACGUG